GUGCUGUUCCUCCUGCCCCCAAGAAGGGGCGGCAAACGCUGCACAGUGAAAUGAAAUCCAAAGCCCCCACCCCCGGCCCCUGGGAUAAACCACUAAGGGCCUUGCUGGGCAAACACAAUUAGCAUUGAGCAAAGUACACAGACGUCUUCCACCGCUAUCAGUAUUGUUGAUCUCUGAAGACACGAGCUUGUUUCUGAAGACAGCAUCUUCAGCUGGUCAGUGGGAUUGCCUUCUGACAGUGUCGCCAGACUUGCAGUUCAGAGGUGGUGACAGAAAUGACUCUCGGUGGCCCCAUCUCUCAGAUGCAGGAGGAUUCUUCGAGAAGGUGCUGGUGCCUUCAGUCUUCAAGGAGCUGGCCUCAGAGUUGCAGCAAGCAGGCUCCUUUAAGACAGAUCUGUGCUCCUGUACCACUUCUUCUUCUUUUUCAUUUAAAGACUUUUUGGUAUGGACCACGUUUAAAGUCUUCUUUUCUCUGGUUUUUGGCCGUGAGGCAUGUGGGAUCUGAGCUCCCCGACCAGGGAUCAGCCCUGCACCCUCUGCACUGGAAGGAGAAACCUUCACCACUGGACCUCCAGGCAAGUCCUCCCUAAGGUACUUCGAUCUCAACUUCAAGUCCUAGCUCAAAUUUCACCUCUCUCGUGAUACCUUUUUUUCCAUCUUUCAUAGAUUCAAAUCCUUCACUCACCUGUGCAUCUCUACUACCGUAUUCAGAUCUCAAAUACAGUCUCAUAUAAUAAUAGAUACUCUUAAUAUAAUCAUAUAAUAUGCUAUUUACUCUCAUUUAUAGUAAUUAUUUACCUUUCUGUGUAAUAAUGAUUGUGAGGUCUUCAAAUAUUUGUGUUCCCAGCACUGUGCCUGAAACAUAGCAGCUGCAUAAUAUACUAACAAACUUCAGGUGGGAGGAGGGACUUUGGCUAGCUUUUUCAACUUGGUUAUUAAUUUAAAAAAUUUAUAUUUGCUUCCAGUUUUAUUGAGAUAUGAUUGACAUAAAACUACAAGUUUAAGGUAUAUAGCAUAAUGAUUUGAUUUGGAUACAUCAUGAAAUGAUGACCACUGUAAGUUUAGUCAACACCAUCAUAUCACAAUUUAUAUGAGAUUUAACAAAAUCUGCAUGCAUCUAACAAAAUUAAGGAAACAGAAAAGAUUUUUUUCUUUGUGAUGAGACCUCAGGAUUUACUCUCGUGAUAGCUUUCUUGUGUAACGUACAAUCGUGUUACUAUAUUUAUCAUGUUGUACCUUACAUUUCUACUACUUAUGUGUUUUAUACCUGGAAGUUUGCACAUUUCAACUGCGUUUACCCAAUUCUACCCCCUUGGAUAACCACAAAUUUUAUCUCUUUCGCUAUGAGUGAGUUUGUUUGAUUUUAAAGUAUAAUUGAACCACAACACUCUGUUAGUUCUUGCUACAUGACAUAGUGAUUCAAUAUUUCUGCACAUUACAAAAUGUUCACCAUGAUAAUCUAGUUACCAUCUGUCACCACAGGAAGAUAUUACAUAAUUAUUGAUUAUAUUCCCCCACACCGUUCAUCUCACACCCUGACUCAUUCAUUUCGCAACUGGAGGUGUGCAUCUCUUCACACCUCAGCUAUUUCUCAGCUAUUUCAGCUAUUUCCCCCUUUCUCUCAGCUAUUUCUCUACUUCCCCCACUGCCUCCCCUCUGGGAACCAUCUUUUCUCUGUGUCUGUGACUCUGCUGCUAUCUUGUUAUGAGAACACAGGGCAGCUACAUGCAAGAGAAUCAGACUGGACUACGUCGUGCACAAAGAUACAUUCAAAACGGAUUAAAGACUUUAAACUUGAGACCUGAACCCAUAAAACUUCUGGAAGAAAACAUAAGCAGGAAGCUCUCCCUGGGACAGAGAUUGGAAGUGUGAGAGAUUCGGGACCAGGAAGACUCUAAGCCACCAGCUUUGAAGACAGAUGGGGCCACACGGCAAGGAUCUGGGGGUGGCCCAUGGGAGCUGAGAUCAGAGUCAGCAUUCGCCCCCGUCCACAGAGACCUGCCUCUCCGUCCGUCCGGGCAGGCGUGGAAGCGGGUUCUUCCCAGAACGUCUCAAAAGGCAUGUAGCACGGCUGACCAAGAUUUUGCUGCUUGAAUCCCUGAGCAAAGAACCCAGCACACCAUGCCUGCAUAUCUGAAAGCUUGUUUUUCUGAUGGGCUUGUUUUGGUCACUAACAUGUUUCAUUCAUUACUCAGCAAUAGCGAACUGAUACAAAUAAUAAGGAACUGAAUUUUACAGUGGCCUGAAUGGGGUUUGAAGAAGCAGGUCAAUCCUAGCCGGUACCUUGAUUCAGCCUGGGAGAUUUGAGCAGGGAACUCAGUUACUCUGUGUCCAGACUUGACCUGCAGAGAGUCUGAAAUGAUAAACUGUGAGAUGCUUUAAGUUACUAAGAUUGGGGAGCUGCUAUGACUCCGAUGGCUAACAUCCCCCAGCCCCAUUCUCCCAGCUCACAUCAGAGGUAGAAGGCUGAAAACACUGAUCUCUGUCAAAACAAAGUCGGGGUUAGAUGUUGGGUGUGAGAAGGCACUCUUUUACUGGAAUAAUUUUAUCUUCUAAAUUCAUAAGUAUAAUAAAAGUUAAUAAAUGGAAAAUCA
Molecule: long non-coding RNA, 2594 nt
Organism: Bos indicus x Bos taurus (hybrid cattle)
Lineage: Eukaryota; Metazoa; Chordata; Mammalia; Artiodactyla; Bovidae
Source: Ensembl